UCUGUGUCUCUCUCUCUGCAGGAUAUGGCUUUGUGGACUUUGACACUCAGACAGCAGCCCAGAAAGCUGUAGCCUCUCUGAAGGCCAGCGGAGUCCAGGCACAGAUGGCCAAGCAACAGGAACAGGAUCCCACUAACCUGUACGUUUCCAACCUGCCUGUGUCCAUGGAUGAGCAGGAGCUGGAGAACAUGCUGAAACAUCUCGGUCACGCCUCAUCUCAACACGGGUACUACGGGACGCCAACGGGGUCAGCAGAGGAGUCGUCUUCGCCAGGAUGGAGUCAACAGAGAAGUGCGAUGUGGUGAUUCAACAUUUCAACGGAAAGUUUCUGAAGACUCCACCAGGCGUACCAGGUAUGAGGAACAGCUACUCCU
This is a long non-coding RNA of Oncorhynchus tshawytscha (Chinook salmon), 374 nucleotides long. RefSeq lists it as uncharacterized. The record is from RefSeq and is a predicted model, not a curated record. The transcript is spliced from 3 exons. NCBI's taxonomy places the organism in Eukaryota, Metazoa, Chordata, Actinopteri, Salmoniformes, Salmonidae.